Molecule: ribosomal RNA, 137 nt
Filed under: uncultured bacterium
Lineage: Bacteria
Description: partial 16S ribosomal RNA
Rfam family: Bacterial small subunit ribosomal RNA
Source: RNAcentral
UGGGGGAUAUUGCACAAUGGGGGGAACCCUGAUGCAGCGACGCCGCGUGGGUGAAGAAGCGCCUCGGCGCGUAAAGCCCUGUCAGCAGGGAAGAAAAUGACGGUACCUGAAGAAGAAGCCCCGGCUAACUACGUGCC